Molecule: ribosomal RNA, 497 nt
Filed under: uncultured bacterium
Lineage: Bacteria
Description: partial 16S ribosomal RNA
Rfam family: Bacterial small subunit ribosomal RNA
Source: RNAcentral
GAUGAACGCUGGCGGCGUGCCUAAUACAUGCAAGUCGAGCGAACGGACGAGAAGCUUGCUUCUCUGAUGUUAGCGGCGGACGGGUGAGUAACACGUGGAUAACCUACCUAUAAGACUGGGAUAACUUCGGGAAACCGGAUCUAAUACCGGAUGAUAUUUUGAACCGCAUGGUUCAAAAGUGAAAGACGGUCUUGCUGUCACUUAUAGAUGGAUCCGCGCUGCAUUAGCUAGUUGGUAAGGUAACGGCUUACCAAGGCAACGAUGCAUAGCCGACCUGAGAGGGUGAUCGGCCACACUGGAACUGAGACACGGUCCAGACUCCUACGGGAGGCAGCAGUAGGGAAUCUUCCGCAAUGGGCGAAAGCCUGACGGAGCAACGCCGCGUGAGUGAUGAAGGUCUUCGGAUCGUAAAACUCUGUUAUUAGGGAAGAACAUAUGUGUAAGUAACUGUGCACAUCUUGACGGUACCUAAUCAGAAAGCCCCGGCUAACUACGUG